GUACCUGCGGAGGGAUCAUUACUGAGUUUACGCUCUAUAACCCUUUGUGAACAUACCUAUAACUGUUGCUUCGGCGGGUAGGGUCUCCGUGACCCUCCCGGCCUCCCGCCCCCGGGCGGGUCGGCGCCCGCCGGAGGAUAACCAAACUCUGAUUUAACGACGUUUCUUCUGAGUGGUACAAGCAAAUAAUCAAAACUUUUAACAACGGAUCUCUUGGUUCUGGCAUCGAUGAAGAACGCAGCGAAAUGCGAUAAGUAAUGUGAAUUGCAGAAUUCAGUGAAUCAUCGAAUCUUUGAACGCACAUUGCGCCCGCCAGCAUUCUGGCGGGCAUGCCUGUUCGAGCGUCAUUUCAACCCUCAAGCUCUGCUUGGUGUUGGGGCCCUACAGCUGAUGUAGGCCCUCAAAGGUAGUGGCGGACCCUCCCGGAGCCUCCUUUGCGUAGUAACUUUACGUCUCGCACUGGGAUCCGGAGGGACUCUUGCCGUAAAACCCCCCAAUUUCCAAAGGUGACCUCGGAUCAGUAGAUCAU
Molecule: ribosomal RNA, 529 nt
Filed under: Colletotrichum gloeosporioides
Lineage: Eukaryota; Fungi; Ascomycota; Sordariomycetes; Glomerellales; Glomerellaceae
Description: eukaryotic LSU rRNA
Rfam family: 5.8S ribosomal RNA (bases 194-347)
Source: RNAcentral